RNAcentral lists this ribosomal RNA (354 nucleotides) under uncultured Latescibacterota bacterium. RNAcentral's name for it is "bacterial SSU rRNA". It matches the Rfam family "Bacterial small subunit ribosomal RNA", at positions 1027 to 1382 of the family's 1533-position model. The record is from RNAcentral. Lineage: Bacteria; Pseudomonadati; Candidatus Latescibacterota.
CUUUCUGCAAGGUGCUGCAUGGUUGUCGUCAGCUCGUGCCGUGAGGUGCGGGUUAAGUCCCAUAACGAGCGCAACCCUUAUCCCUAGUUGCCAUCAGGUAAAGCUGGGAACUCUGGGGAGACUGCCGGUGAUAAACCGGAGGAAGCGGGGAUGACGUCAAGUCCUCAUGGCCCUUACAUCCCGGGCUACACACGUGCUACAAUGGCAGGUACAGAGGGCUGCGAAGCCGCGGGGUGGAGCGAAUCCCAGAAAACCUGUCUCAGUCCGGAUUGAAGUCUGCAACUCGAGAGCAUGAAGUCGGAAUCGCUAGUAAUCGCAGGUCAGCAUACUGCGGUGAAUACGUUCCCGGGUCUU